UCCAAUGGUCCAGAAGCAAGAUGCUAUCACCGAUGGUCCAGAUUCAGGCGCUGAGCAACGGUCCAGAUCUUUCAUCCAGAGAGCCAUCCAGUGGUCCAGAUUCAGGCGCUGAGCAACGGUCCAGAUCUUUCAUCCAGAGAGCCAUCCAGUGGUCCAGAUUCAGGCGCUGACCAAUGGUCCAGAUCUUUCAUCCAGAGAGCCAUCCAGUGGUCCAGAAUAAGGCACCAACUAGUGGACCAGAUCCUUCAUCCAGGGAGCGAUCCAAUGGUCCAGAAGUGAAGGCCCUAUCAAACCCAAUCCAAUUGGGUUUAACCAACUUAAAGAAAACAUUAAACCUAAUCAAAUCAGGUCUAAUUAAAGCCAAAUGGGUUCCAACUCUUGGCUAACCCAUAUUAGGUCAUGAUCUAAUCAUAUUAGAUCAACCUAAUCUAAGAAUCAGAUUCGAAUUUAAUUUGAAUCAAGAGCUAGGGUUUGCAAUACGUGCUAGCAUGUUCAUCUUGCAAACAUGAUCUAAUCCAAUUAGACCCUUGAUCAAUUCCCUUGUGUGUGACCCAUUGGGUUCCUUAUCUUAGCCAGCAGUAGGUGUAGGUGCAAGUUGACCUAACUUGAUUAGAAUACCUCUAAUCCAAUUUAGGUUCAAUUUAGUGCUAAACCUGACUUAGCAAUCAAAACCUUUCUGAUGN
This 683-nucleotide long non-coding RNA is filed under the name Phoenix dactylifera (date palm). RNAcentral's name for it is "long non-coding RNA (PDAC_LNC012708)". The record is from RNAcentral. Lineage: Eukaryota; Viridiplantae; Streptophyta; Magnoliopsida; Arecales; Arecaceae.